ACGAACGCUGGCGGCGUGCUUAACGCAUGCAAGUCGAACGGAAAGGCCCUGCUUGCGGGGUCCUCGAGUGGCGAACGGGUGAGUAACACGUGGGUGAUCUGCCCUGCACUUCGGGAUAAGCCUGGGAAACUGGGUCUAAUACCGGAUAGGAGCCAUUUUUAGUGUGAUGGUUGGAAAGUUUUUUCGGUGUAGGAUGAGCUCGCGGCCUAUCAGCUUGUUGGUGGGGUAAUGGCCUACCAAGGCGGCGACGGGUAGCCGGCCUGAGAGGGUGGACGGCCACAUUGGGACUGAGAUACGGCCCCGACUCCUACGGGAGGCAGCAGUGGGGAAUAUUGCACAAUGGGCGCAAGCCUGAUGCAGCGACGCCGCGUGGGGGAGGACGGCCUUCGGGUUGUAAACUCCUUUCGCUAGGGACGAAGCUUUUUGUGACGGUACCUAGAUAAGAAGCACCGGCUAACUACGUG
RNAcentral lists this ribosomal RNA (464 nucleotides) under uncultured bacterium. RNAcentral's name for it is "partial 16S ribosomal RNA". It matches the Rfam family "Bacterial small subunit ribosomal RNA", at positions 29 to 507 of the family's 1533-position model. The record is from RNAcentral.